AAUAAAAUAAACUAAAUUAAAAAAGUUAUUAGAUUCAUAUUCUAAAUAUAGAAAAAAAUUUUUCUUUUUAUUA
Molecule: transfer RNA, 73 nt
Filed under: Exallonyx sp. ZJUH_2016014
Lineage: Eukaryota; Metazoa; Arthropoda; Insecta; Hymenoptera; Proctotrupidae
Description: tRNA-Met
Source: RNAcentral